This 408-nucleotide ribosomal RNA is filed under the name uncultured bacterium. Its description in RNAcentral is "bacterial SSU rRNA". It matches the Rfam family "Bacterial small subunit ribosomal RNA", at positions 29 to 432 of the family's 1533-position model. The record is from RNAcentral.
AGUGAACGCUGGCGGCAGGCCUAAUACAUGCAAGUCGAACGGCAGCACAGCAGAGCUUGCUCUGUGGGUGGCGAGUGGCGGACGGGCGAGGAAUACAUGGGAAUCUGCCCAGUCGUGGGGGAUAACGUAGGGAAACUUACGCUAAUACCGCAUGCGCCCUUCGGGGGAAAGCCGGGGACCUUCGGGCCUGGCGCGAUUGGAUGAGCCCAUGUCGGAUUAGCUAGUUGGCGGGGUAAUGGCCCACCAAGGCGACGAUCCGUAGCUGGUCUGAGAGGAUGAUCAGCCACACUGGAACUGAGACACGGUCCAGACUCCUACGGGAGGCAGCAGUAGGGAAUAUUGGACAAUGGGCGCAAGCCUGAUCCAGCCAUGCCGCGUGAGUGAAGAAGGCCCUCGGGUUGUAAAGCU